This is a long non-coding RNA of Eriocheir sinensis (Chinese mitten crab), 632 nucleotides long. RefSeq lists it as uncharacterized. The transcript is spliced from 3 exons. The record is from RefSeq and is a predicted model, not a curated record. NCBI's taxonomy places the organism in Eukaryota, Metazoa, Arthropoda, Malacostraca, Decapoda, Varunidae.
AGCCAUCAGUGAGUGCCGGGCAGCUGACAGUGGACCUGGUAAUUACCUGUGAGAAGUUGGUCCUUGGAUGUAAGGCAAGUCUUGCUCAGCUCAGUGACAUUGCACUGAAGAAUGAGGCUUGUCCCUUGUUUGCUUGUGUCUCAUACUCCAUAAAUCAGGAACUUGAGAAGCUGCUUCCAGUCUUGUCUCAGGUGGGCACCACCCAGCCCCUCUGACCACAGCAGCAAAGACCAGUGCCAUGUCUUGCCUGCCCAGUGCCUUGCUGUCAUGCAGACCCACUCAUAGAAGUGAGUGCCUUGGCCUUUACAUGUGUGACUCUAGCUGUGUAUGCCUUUGCCAGUCUGUCAUAUCUCUAAAUACAUUCAGUUAUCAAUAUAUCUGUCUGUCAUAUCUUUAAAUACAUUCAGUUAUCAAUAUAUCUGUCUGUCAUAUCUUUAAAUACAUUCAGUUAUCAAUAUAUCUGUCUGUCAUAUCUCUAAAUACUUUCAGUUAUCAAUAUAUCUGUCUGUCAUAUCUCUAAAUACAUUCAGUUAUCAAUAUAUCUGUCUGUCAUAUCUCUAAAUACAUUCAAUUAUCAAUAUAUCUGUCUGUCAUAUCUCUAAAUACAUUCAGUUAUCAAUAUAUCUGUCUGU